RNAcentral lists this ribosomal RNA (434 nucleotides) under uncultured Hyphomicrobiales bacterium. RNAcentral describes it as "bacterial SSU rRNA". It matches the Rfam family "Bacterial small subunit ribosomal RNA", at positions 341 to 792 of the family's 1533-position model. Lineage: Bacteria; Pseudomonadati; Pseudomonadota; Alphaproteobacteria; Hyphomicrobiales. The record is from RNAcentral.
ACGGGAGGCAGCAGUGGGGAAUAUUGGACAAUGGGCGCAAGCCUGAUCCAGCCAUGCCGCGUGGGUGAAGAAGGCCUUAGGGUUGUAAACCCCUUUCAGCGGGGAAGAUAAUGACGGUACCCGCAGAAGAAGUCCCGGCUAACUCCGUGCCAGCAGCCGCGGUAAUACGGAGGGGACUAGCGUUGUUCGGAAUUACUGGGCGUAAAGCGCGCGUAGGCGGACCUGCAAGUCGGGGGUGAAAGCCCGAGGCUCAACCUCGGAACUGCCUUCGAUACUGCGGGUCUCGAGUCCGGGAGAGGUGAGUGGAAUUCCUAGUGUAGAGGUGAAAUUCGUAGAUAUUAGGAAGAACACCAGUGGCGAAGGCGGCUCACUGGCCCGGUACUGACGCUGAGGCGCGAAAGCGUGGGGAGCAAACAGGAUUAGAUACCCUGGUA